This 465-nucleotide ribosomal RNA is filed under the name uncultured bacterium. RNAcentral describes it as "bacterial SSU rRNA". It matches the Rfam family "Bacterial small subunit ribosomal RNA", at positions 338 to 795 of the family's 1533-position model. The record is from RNAcentral.
CCUACGGGUUGCACCAGUGGGGAAUAUUGCACAAUGGGCGCAAGCCUGAUGCAGCCAUGCCGCGUGUAUGAAGAAGGCCUUCGGGUUGUAAAGUACUUUCAGCGAGGAGGAAGGCAUUAAGGUUAAUAACCUUAGUGAUUGACGUUACUCGCAGAAGAAGCACCGGCUAACUCCGUGCCAGCAGCCGCGGUAAUACGGAGGGUGCAAGCGUUAAUCGGAAUUACUGGGCGUAAAGCGCACGCAGGCGGUCUGUCAAGUCGGAUGUGAAAUCCCCGGGCUCAACCUGGGAACUGCAUCCGAAACUGGCAGGCUAGAGUCUUGUAGAGGGGGGUAGAAUUCCAGGUGUAGCGGUGAAAUGCGUAGAGAUCUGGAGGAAUACCGGUGGCGAAGACGGCCCCCUGGACAAAGACUGACGCUCAGGUGCGAAAGCGUGGGGAGCAAACAGGAUUAGAUACCCGUGUAGUC